Molecule: long non-coding RNA, 1492 nt
Filed under: Gossypium barbadense (sea-island cotton)
Lineage: Eukaryota; Viridiplantae; Streptophyta; Magnoliopsida; Malvales; Malvaceae
Description: long non-coding RNA (GBAR_LNC007735)
Source: RNAcentral
AAUAAAGUGCGCACAAAUGAGCAGGGACUUGGAAUACACAUAUCUCGAAUCUCAAAACGCAGCGUUCAAAUAAGGAUUAAAUUGUAACAAUGCGCAAAUCUCAGGGAAAAUGUAAAAAAUAAAUAAAACAUGAUUGAGGCUUAAUUAAAGAUCGGUGCAGGAGAGGAGGGACUACAUGCGCAAUUAGCCCUCAAAGACCAAAACAUGCGGAUCUCGAUGGGCACCGGGUCGGGUCGCACGGGUAAGGCCUAUACGGCACCGUUUUGGAGCCACUGAAACAGGCCCUAAACGGUGCCGUUUCAUGCUCUUCAUAAAACAAAAAUAAAAAUAAAAAACCCUAAACUAACAUUUGGCUAUUUGAAAAAGAAUCAAAAUAAAACCUAAAGCCUCCCUUCCACUCUCAUUCAGCCGAACCAAAAAGCUCUACCACUUCACCUCCAUACUCAACGGACGGCAACGUAUGAAGGUUUAUCCUGGCCUUAUUCGACCGCAAAUCUGAGGGUUUUGUUAUGCUUAACCUCAAUCCUCAUCUAGCUUCGAUUACCACGACGUAAACAAGGAUUCGAAGCCUCCUAAGAAAGAUAAGUAUUAACGCUUUCAUUUAUUUUGUUUUUUACAUACAAUGACGAAGAUCAAAGAAAAAUAGAAGCAAAAACGAAAGACAAAAAAUGAGAUUUAAAAUCACCUUUGGAAAACUCUUUUUCCUAUUCAAACUUUUGGUAUAGAUUUUGUAUCGUCUCUCCCAAAAAUCCCCCUUUACAUUCAAUUUCAUUUCGUUUUAUAGCUGAAAAAUAAGAAUAAAAUAAAUAAGAAAAUCAAAUUUCCUUGCUGUAAUUUCUGUUAUUUGCUGUCCAUUGCUCUUUUGUUUGUUAGUCUGCUGUAGGUGUGUAUGGCGUGGAGAAGCCAUUCGUGGGCAUGUCGACGUGGAGAAUGAAGCAACGGCGCGCGUGAAAGCUGGCACGAAGGUAGCAGCGGCACAAGGGGGAAAGGUAACCCUAUAGUUCUAAAAAUAUUAAACUUUCGGGCCUGGGCUAGUUUUUGUCAUUGGGCCGUUGCAAUUUGAUUUGUAUUUUGAGGCUUUUUAUUUUGGAUUUUGGGCUUGGGAUAUUAUUAUGGACAUUGGACUUUAAUUUUGGUUUUUUUUUUGUUUUGGUUUAUUUUGUUUUUUGGUUUUUGUAUGGCCCGGGCUAAAAUUGGGCCUUACAAUGUAAAGACUUAUUUAUUGAAUGCUUAAAAGAAAAUUAUUCUACACGUCUCAAAAUCUUUGUAUUUUACUAACUUCAUUUUUUUUUAUUUUUGUGAAAAAUAAAAUAAAAUAAAAUAAAGAACACACAAAUUUUACGUGGAAACCCUUUCGGGAAAAAACUACGGGCAGAGAAGAAGAAAAUUCACUAUGUUGAAAAAUUUGAAUCAAAUACAAGAGGAAUAGACUAUGUCUAUUUAUAGGUUUGCAAAGCCAUAUUCUAGUAGGAUUGAAACACCUUAUCCUAAU